ACGAACGCUGGCGGCGUGCUUAACACCUGCAAGUCGCACGGAAAGGCCCUGCUUUUGUGGGGUGCUCGAGUGGCGAACGGGUGAGUAACACGUGAGUAACCUGCCCUUGACUUUGGGAUAACUUCAGGAAACUGGGGCUAAUACCGGAUAGGAGCUCCUGCUGCAUGGUGGGGGUUGGAAAGUUUCGGCGGUUGGGGAUGGACUCGCGGCUUAUCAGCUUGUUGGUGGGGUAGUGGCUUACCAAGGCUUUGACGGGUAGCCGGCCUGAGAGGGUGACCGGCCACAUUGGGACUGAGAUACGGUCCAGACUCCUACGGGAGGCAGCAGUGGGGAAUAUUGCACAAUGGGCGGAAGCCUGAUGCAGCAACGCCGCGUGCGGGAUGACGGCCUUCGGGUUGUAAACCGCUUUCGCCUGUGACGAAGCGUGAGUGACGGUAAUGGGUAAAGAAGCACCGGCUAACUACGUG
Molecule: ribosomal RNA, 467 nt
Filed under: uncultured bacterium
Lineage: Bacteria
Description: partial 16S ribosomal RNA
Rfam family: Bacterial small subunit ribosomal RNA
Source: RNAcentral